RNAcentral lists this ribosomal RNA (450 nucleotides) under uncultured bacterium. Its description in RNAcentral is "partial 16S ribosomal RNA". It matches the Rfam family "Bacterial small subunit ribosomal RNA", at positions 354 to 796 of the family's 1533-position model. The record is from RNAcentral.
GUGGGGAAUAUUGGACAAUGGGCGAAAGCCUGAUCCAGCCAUGCCGCGUGUGUGAAGAAGGUCUUCGGAUUGUAAAGCACUUUAAGUUGGGAGGAAGGGUAGUAACCUAAUACGUUGCUACUUUGACGUUACCGACAGAAUAAGCACCGGCUAACUUCAUGCCAGCAGCCGCGGUAAUACGAAGGGUGCAAGCGUUAAUCGGAAUUACUGGGCGUAAAGCGCGCGUAGAUGGUUCAGUAAGUUGGAAGUGAAAUCCCCGGGCUCAACCUGGGAACUGCUUUCAAAACUGCUGAGCUAGAGUACGGUAGAGGGUGGUGGAAUUUCCUGUGUAGCGGUGAAAUGCGUAGAUAUAGGAAGGAACACCAGUGGCGAAGGCGACCACCUGGACUGAUACUGACACUGAGGUGCGAAAGCGUGGGGAGCAAACAGGAUUAGAAACCCUAGUAGUCC